Vicia villosa (hairy vetch) is the source of this 552-nucleotide long non-coding RNA. RefSeq lists it as uncharacterized. The record is from RefSeq and is a predicted model, not a curated record. The transcript is spliced from 4 exons. Lineage: Eukaryota; Viridiplantae; Streptophyta; Magnoliopsida; Fabales; Fabaceae.
UUAUGGACACGGUAGUUUGUUAUGUGAUGUGUUGCAAGGAAAUAAUUCAGAAAAACCAAUUAGUAUGCAAGUAUUUGUUGAUAUGUGUUUGUAAUUUUGUGUUGAAUAGACUAGAUGAGUCUGCCCUUCUUCUUUGUUGCAUGAAAUUGGAAGCUGAAUGUGGUUACUUGGCUUGUUAGGAGUAUGAAGUUUGAAUGUAACAGGCUCUGGUAUUGUGAAUGGUAUGUUCUGAAUGACUUGUAAGCUGCCUGAAUUGCUGAAAUAGAGUGUAUGCAGGGCUGUCUUGAUGCUAUUGGAUGGCUGCUGUAAAUAUAUGUUGCAGGGUACUGCAGUUGAGGAUUUUUCUGAGACAUUUGACUACUGAAGUAUGCAAGGGUGCAGCUCUGUUGUUGGGAGUGAGUUGGAGAUUUACAUGGAGGCAUGAAGAUUUAGGGACAGAAUUAGGAUGAGUUUAUGAUGAUGAUUCUUUCUUUGGUUGUAAUCUUUCCUUUGCGAUUUGUAGCGCCUUUGUAAUAAGUUAGGAUUGUUGUAAUAAAAUUUGGACCUUAUUAG